UAGUCCACGCCGUAAACGAUGUCUACUAGCCGUUGGGAGACUUGAUUUCUUAGUGGCGCAGCUAACGCACUAAGUAGACCGCCUGGGGAGUACGGCCGCAAGGUUAAAACUCAAAUGAAUUGACGGGGGCCCGCACAAGCGGUGGAGCAUGUGGUUUAAUUCGAUGCAACGCGAAGAACCUUACCAGGCCUUGACAUACAGAGAACUUUCCAGAGAUGGAUUGGUGCCUUCGGGAACUCUGAUACAGGUGCUGCAUGGCUGUCGUCAGCUCGUGUCGUGAGAUGUUGGGUUAAGUCCCGUAACGAGCGCAACCCUUGUCCUUAGUUGCCAGCACAUAAUGGUGGGAACUCUAGGGANACUGCCGGUGAUAAACCGGGAGGAAGGUGGGGACGACGUCAAGGUCAUCAUGGCCCUUACGGGCCUGGGGCUACACACGUGCUACAA
This 444-nucleotide ribosomal RNA is filed under the name uncultured bacterium. Its description in RNAcentral is "bacterial SSU rRNA". It matches the Rfam family "Bacterial small subunit ribosomal RNA", at positions 791 to 1230 of the family's 1533-position model. The record is from RNAcentral.